This 498-nucleotide ribosomal RNA is filed under the name uncultured bacterium. RNAcentral's name for it is "bacterial SSU rRNA". It matches the Rfam family "Bacterial small subunit ribosomal RNA", at positions 899 to 1397 of the family's 1533-position model. The record is from RNAcentral.
ACUCAAAUGAAUUGACGGGGGUCCGCACAAGCGGCGGAGCAUGUGGAUUAAUUCGAUGCAACGCGAAGAACCUUACCUGGGUUUGACAUGGGCCGGACGCUCGCAGAGAUGUGGGUUCCCUUGUGGUCGGUUCACAGGUGGUGCAUGGCUGUCGUCAGCUCGUGUCGUGAGAUGUUGGGUUAAGUCCCGCAACGAGCGCAACCCUUGUCCUGUGUUGCCAGCGCGUGAUGGCGGGGACUCGCAGGAGACUGCCGGGGUCAACUCGGAGGAAGGUGGGGACGACGUCAAGUCAUCAUGCCCCUUAUGUCCAGGGCUUCACACAUGCUACAAUGGCCGGUACAGAGGGCUGCGAUGCCGUGAGGCGGAGCGAAUCCCGUAAAGCCGGUCUCAGUUCGGAUCGGGGUCUGCAACUCGACCCCGUGAAGUCGGAGUCGCUAGUAAUCGCAGAUCAGCAAUGCUGCGGUGAAUACGUUCCCGGGCCUUGUACACACCGCCCGU